This 23-nucleotide non-coding RNA is filed under the name Rattus norvegicus (Norway rat). The record is from RNAcentral. Lineage: Eukaryota; Metazoa; Chordata; Mammalia; Rodentia; Muridae.
UGGAGCAGAACCACAUGGAAGCC